Molecule: long non-coding RNA, 521 nt
Filed under: Mytilus galloprovincialis (Mediterranean mussel)
Lineage: Eukaryota; Metazoa; Mollusca; Bivalvia; Mytilida; Mytilidae
Source: RNAcentral
AUAAUAAAGUUUUAUGGUGUUUUUGUUUGAAUCGGAGUUAGAUAUUGUUACGUUGAGUUUGUAUUCCAGUAAUGUUUCCUUGAUUAUUACUGAUAUCAACGUGAUAAACAAACAGAGUCUUACUAAAGGAAAGGAAACUGUUCCUUCCAAGUUACCCUAAGUUAUAAAUUAACUCCUCGCGUAAAAAAGAAGAAGAAAAAAACAUUAUUAAGAUACACUUUGUCUUAGGCGACAGAUAUUAUGGUAAAAAGUUCAUAAAGGUUUAUUACAAGAGGGGGAAUCUACGUCAUCACGCAGGGUGUCGGCGAUUGAAAUUGGACCACCAUCUUGUCGCUUCAAGGUAAGAAUUUUACUUAUCAUGCCAGUUAUAUGAGGGUUAUGAUUAUACAAAAUUGUCCAACAAAGACUAUAUAAAGUAGGAAAAUAAAUGAGCCAUCGAUCAAUAUUAUUGGUUAUCUCAAUUUUGCAAACACUUCGAUACCAGUUUUAGGAAUUAGGUCAAACAUGCAGGAUAUCGGCAA